AUUGAACGCUGGCGGCAUGCCUUACACAUGCAAGUCGAACGGUAACAGGUCUUCGGAUGCUGACGAGGGGCGAACGGGUGAGUAAUACAUCGGAACGUGCCUAGUAGUGUGGGAUAACUACUCGAAAGAGUGGCUAAUACCGCAUGAGAUCUACGGAGGAAAGCAUGGGAUCGCAAGACCUUGUGCUACUAGAGCGGCUGAUGGCAGAUUAGGUAGUUGGUAGGAGAAAAGCUUACCAAGCCGACGAUCUGUAGCUGGUCUGAGAGGACGAUCAGCCACACUGGGACUGAGACACGGCCCAGACUCCUACGGGAGGCAGCAGUGGGGAAUUUUGGACAAUGGGCGCAAGCCUGAUCCAGCAAUGCCGCGUGCAGGAUGAAGGCCUUCGGGUUGUAAACUGCUUUUGUACGGAACGAAAAGCCCCGGGUUAAUACCCUGGGGUCAUGACGGUACCGUAAGAAUAAGCACCGGCUAACUACGUGCCAGCCGCCGCCGUAA
This 498-nucleotide ribosomal RNA is filed under the name uncultured bacterium. RNAcentral describes it as "partial 16S ribosomal RNA". It matches the Rfam family "Bacterial small subunit ribosomal RNA", at positions 30 to 523 of the family's 1533-position model. The record is from RNAcentral.